GAUGAACGCUGGCGGCGUGCCUAAUACAUGCAAGUCGAGCGAACGGACGAGAAGCUUGCUUCUCUGAUGUUAGCGGCGGACGGGUGAGUAACACGUGGAUAACCUACCUAUAAGACUGGGAUAACUUCGGGAAACCGGAGCUAAUACCGGAUGAUAUUUUGAACCGCAUGGUUCAAAAGUGAAAGACGGUCUUGCUGUCACUUAUAGAUGGGUCCACGCUGCAUUAGCUAGUUGGUAAGGUAACGGCUUACCAAGGCAACGAUGCAUAGCCGACCUGAGAGGGUGAUCGGCCACACUGGAACUGAGACACGGUCCAGACUCCUACGGGAGGCAGCAGUAGGGAAUCUUCCGCAAUGGGCGAAAGCCUGACGGAGCAACGCCGCGUGAGUGAUGAAGGUCUUCGGAUCGUAAAACUCUGUUAUUAGGGAAGAACAUAUGUGUAAGUAACUGUGCACAUCUUGACGGUACCUAAUCAGAAAGCCACGGCUAACUACGUG
RNAcentral lists this ribosomal RNA (497 nucleotides) under uncultured bacterium. RNAcentral describes it as "partial 16S ribosomal RNA". It matches the Rfam family "Bacterial small subunit ribosomal RNA", at positions 28 to 507 of the family's 1533-position model. The record is from RNAcentral.